Molecule: ribosomal RNA, 253 nt
Filed under: uncultured bacterium
Lineage: Bacteria
Description: partial 16S ribosomal RNA
Rfam family: Bacterial small subunit ribosomal RNA
Source: RNAcentral
UACGAAGGGGGCUAGCGUUGUUCGGAAUUACUGGGCGUAAAGCGCGUGUAGGCGGGUCUUUAAGUCAGGGGUGAAAUGCCAAGGCUCAACCUUGGAACUGCCUUUGAUACUGGAGAUCUUGAGUCCGGGAGAGGUGAGUGGAACUGCGAGUGUAGAGGUGAAAUUCGUAGAUAUUCGCAAGAACACCAGUGGCGAAGGCGGCUCACUGGCCCGGAACUGACGCUGAGACGCGAAAGCGUGUGGAGCAAACAGG